ACUACGGGAGGCAGCAGUGAGGAAUAUUGGUCAAUGGACGCAAGUCUGAACCAGCCAUGCCGCGUGCAGGAAGACGGCUCUAUGAGUUGUAAACUGCUUUUGUACGAGGGUAAACGCAGAUACGCGUAUCUGUCUGAAAGUAUUGUACGAAUAAGGAUCGGCUAACUCCGUGCCAGCAGCCGCGGUAAUACGGAGGAUGCAAGCGUUAUCCGGAUUUAUUGGUGUUAAAGGGUGCUUAGGCGGUGGGAUAAGUUAGAGGUGAAAUCCCGAGGCGCAACUUUGGAAUUGCCUCUGAUUCUGUUCGGCUAGAGAGUAGUUGCGGUAGGCGGAAUGUAUGGUGUAGCGGUGAGAUGCUUAGAGAUCAUACAGAACACCGAUUGCGAAGGCAGCUUACCAAGCUACUUCUGACGUUGAGGCACGAAAGCGUGGGGAGCAAACAGGAUUAGAUACCCGGGUAGUC
Molecule: ribosomal RNA, 460 nt
Filed under: uncultured bacterium
Lineage: Bacteria
Description: partial 16S ribosomal RNA
Rfam family: Bacterial small subunit ribosomal RNA
Source: RNAcentral